RNAcentral lists this ribosomal RNA (323 nucleotides) under uncultured bacterium. RNAcentral's name for it is "bacterial SSU rRNA". It matches the Rfam family "Bacterial small subunit ribosomal RNA", at positions 28 to 334 of the family's 1533-position model. The record is from RNAcentral.
GAUGAACGCUGGCGGCGUGCUUAACACAUGCAAGUCGAACGGAGAGCCAAUGACGGAGUUUUCGGACAACGGAUUUGGUUUCUUAGUGGCGGACGGGUGAGUAACGCGUGAGCAACCUGCCUUGGAGUGGGGAAUAACAGCUGGAAACAGCUGCUAAUACCGCAUAAUGCAGCGAGGGACAUCCUCUUGCUGCCAAAGAUUUAUCGCUCUGAGAUGGACUCGCGUCUGAUUAGCUAGUUGGCGGGGUAACGGCCCACCAAGGCGACGAUCAGUAGCCGGACUGAGAGGUUGACCGGCCACAUCGGGACUGGGAUACGGCCCAG